Mastomys coucha (southern multimammate mouse) is the source of this 418-nucleotide long non-coding RNA. RefSeq lists it as uncharacterized. Lineage: Eukaryota; Metazoa; Chordata; Mammalia; Rodentia; Muridae. The record is from RefSeq and is a predicted model, not a curated record. The transcript is spliced from 4 exons.
GAAGUGAUGGGAGAUCGUCUACAUUGGCAUGAGGCCCAGUGUGACCUCCACACUCUGGGGGUCAAAAGAAAGGCAUCUCUAUGAUCAUCUCCCAAGAAAGACGUAUUUUAAACUCUCUGGGCAACGACAUCCAUGACAGGAAGAAAUGAAGUUAUUAUGGAAGAUAUCUCCCUUGAAAAGAAUAGCUGAUGAGGUCCAGCAUAUGCAGAAGAGAGAAAAUGUGCAGUGUUUGCCUUUCUAGGCCUGCCUGAGUUUGCUGAAUUCAAGCAUCUCCAGAUCUACCUAUUUUCCUCCAGGUGGUUAGAGAACAAAUGAUCACAGGACCGCAGAGCUUACAGGAGCAGCCUCCUGAACCAUGGCUUUCAGAAUAGUGGACUGUCGCGACCACCCUCGACCAGCAAGAAUGACACAACACACU